ACGCUCGACACCUACGGGAGGCGGCAGUGGGGAAUAUUGCACAAUGGGGGAAACCCUGAUGCAGCGACGCCGCGUGGAGGAAGAAGGUCUUCGGAUUGUAAACUCCUGUUGUUGGGGAAAAAGAGGAUGGUACCCAACAAGGAAGUGACGGCUAACUACGUGCCAGAGCGUCGGUAGUACUGNGCGGCGNGNGAGACG
RNAcentral lists this ribosomal RNA (198 nucleotides) under uncultured bacterium. RNAcentral's name for it is "partial 16S ribosomal RNA". It matches the Rfam family "Bacterial small subunit ribosomal RNA", at positions 328 to 540 of the family's 1533-position model. The record is from RNAcentral.